Molecule: long non-coding RNA, 329 nt
Organism: Callorhinchus milii (elephant shark)
Lineage: Eukaryota; Metazoa; Chordata; Chondrichthyes; Chimaeriformes; Callorhinchidae
Exons: 2
Source: RefSeq, a predicted model, not a curated record
GACUAUAAGCCCAUAGAGAAUUAUCACAAUGUGGAAUGGACUGCAUUUCCAAUGUUUUAAUUACUUCAGAGAACAGUACAGGUUGAGAUUGUUUUUGCAGUCUUUGUGGCAGAGGGAAUGCUAUUAGAAGCAGACGAGAAGCCUGCAUACAUAAGGAGCAGCAGGGAAAAGCCCAGAAAGCAAGCCAGCAGAGCGAACACAGACCCUGACAGGGGCCUGGUAAAGAUUGAGAAGUUGAGAAAAUUUGGAACAGAAGAUGUCUGGAAAGGGAAGUGCGUCUAGAUAACAGGAUGUAAAAGGAGCUUAAUAAAGGAUGUAAGCUGAUAUUA